AGCGAACGCUGGCGGCAGGAUUAACACAUGCAAGUCGAGCGGGCAUCUUCGGAUGUCAGCGGCAGACGGGUGAGUAACACGGGGGAACGUACCCUUCGGUUCGGAACAACUCUGGGAAACUGGAGCUAAUACCGGAUACGCCCUUAUGGGGAAAGGUUUACUGCCGCAGGAUCGGCCCGCGUCUGAUUAGCUGGUUGGUGGGGUAACGGCCUACCAAGGCGACGAUCAGUAGCUGGUCUGAGAGGAUGAUCAGCCACACUGGGACUGAGGCACGGCCCAGACUCCUACGGGAGGCAGCAGUGGGGAAUAUUGGACAAUGGGCGCAAGCCUAAUCCAGCCAUGCCGCGUGAGUGAUGAAGGCCUUAGGGUUGUAAAGCUCUUUUGUCCGGGACGAUAAUGACGGUACCGGAAGAAUAAGCCCCGGCUAACUUCGUA
This 435-nucleotide ribosomal RNA is filed under the name uncultured bacterium. Its description in RNAcentral is "partial 16S ribosomal RNA". It matches the Rfam family "Bacterial small subunit ribosomal RNA", at positions 29 to 507 of the family's 1533-position model. The record is from RNAcentral.